Molecule: long non-coding RNA, 1653 nt
Organism: Nycticebus coucang (slow loris)
Lineage: Eukaryota; Metazoa; Chordata; Mammalia; Primates; Lorisidae
Exons: 2
Source: RefSeq, a predicted model, not a curated record
UUUGCUUCUUGUUAUAAUCUGCCAGUCUUUGGGCGGCAGCAGCUGUCAUGGGACCGGGUGGGCGGGGAGAGGCUUGCAAGCUGACUCUUGCGGUGAAAUGCGUCUUGGAGGGGACACAGCUACCGAGACAUUCAUCUCCGGGAGGACUCCGGGUGGCGACUUCAGGCUGGCGGCUGGGACGGCGUGGCGUGGCGGUGUCGCGGAAAGGAAUCUUGUUACCAACCGGGGAAGGCCGGACCUAGCCCACAGCAGACGCCGCUGCGUCAGGGAGCCGCGGGGCGCGUGGUCCGUGGCAGGCGAGCUCGGGCAGAGGAUCUUCUGGUGAUCUUUGCCGGUCCAACUUGGGAAAUGUAAUUGAUAGGAUGAGCUUUGCAGCCACCCGUAGAAGGCUCAUGGAACCCAGCCAGAGGACGACCUGGGCGGGCCGUUGUGCGCCGCCUCAUUUUACAGUUGGGGAAAGGGAUGUGAGGGGUGAGCCUGUACGGGACCACGCAGCCAGCGGGUGACAGAGCCACCCAGGGCUCCUGACUCCAGGUCCUGUGUGUUACCUUGAAAUAGCACUGGACUUGGAGUCAGAAGGCCUGAGUGGAGUCACCUUCCCCACUCUCUGGCUGGGUGACCUCGGAGCAAGCCGUUUUAACUCUCACAGCUGCCUUUUCUUCCUUCUGUCAAAUGGGGCUGGUGGUACCCGGAGGAGAAUCCAAUGGCCUGGUGGGCCAGGGUGAGCAGUGUUUGCAUGUGAGAUGUCUAAUCCCUCCCCUCCUUCACUUCUCUCUUUGUGAACUUUGGGGGAAAGUGGAUAAAAUGGUAAUUCACUGUCUUUGUUCAAAAGAUUUUUGUUUUCAUUGGCUAAUCCGGGGUUAGAUUAGAGGGAGAAUUUCUGUUUAGGAGACUUAACUUUUACCCAUUGGGGCUGAAGUACAGAAAUUAAGCAGAACAAGGAUUGUGAAAGUUACUUGGAAAGGUUUGAGUCAUGAAUCCUAAAGGACAUUGGGUGGUUUUACCCUUCCUCGGGCUGUGCCUGACGCUAGUGCCCUCGCCCACCCAUCCUGCAUGGCCUUCUCUAGUAGGCAACACCUCAGCUUGCCCUGCUUUCUCUGCUCUGAUUUUCUUUGUGUUAUACAAUCAAGCACUUUAUGCGUGAGUUUGGUGUCCAGUAAGAUUCUAGAGCUAGAGUUGUGCCUUUUAUCUCUUUGUGCUCACAUGGUACCUGUCAGCAUGCUGAGCUGUGUUCCUUUGCUCAGCUCUUGGCUAGGCACUUGGAGGGGUACAGCUGGGGCCUGCUAAGCAGAACCUCCCAGACUGGCAGGGGAGACAGCUGGGCAGCAAGUGUGGGGAAAGUGGAAUGCAGAGGGCUGCAGCUGUGAGCAAAAGCUGAGGCUCCAAAGGCCACACAAGUAAGCCCACACUAAAUAUGGGCCUUUCAAAGUUGCUAGGGGCAUCAGUCAUAGAUGCCUAAAAUGUCAGAGUUGGCAGGGACUUUAGAAAUCACCUGUUCCAACCCCUCAUCACUUAAAAAUAUUAAUUAUAGAAUUGUUAGAAAAUACUGCCAAGCAUAAAGAGAAAAAUUAGAAAUAUGUACUAAUGAUCCAAAGAUAACCACUAUUAAUUUAUUUCUUUUUUCUUUCCUGUUCAUAUGGAUAACAUCUUUUU